AGCGAACGCUGGCGGCAGGCCUAACACAUGCAAGUCGAACGGACCCUUCGGGGUUAGUGGCGGACGGGUGAGUAACACGUGGGAACGUGCCUUUAGGUUCGGAAUAGCUCCUGGAAACGGGUGGUAAUGCCGAAUGUGCCCUUCGGGGGAAAGAUUUAUCGCCUUUAGAGCGGCCCGCGUCUGAUUAGCUAGUUGGUGAGGUAACGGCUCACCAAGGCGACGAUCAGUAGCUGGUCUGAGAGGAUGACCAGCCACACUGGGACUGAGACGCGGCCCAGACUCCUACGGGAGGCAGCAGUGGGGAAUCUUGCGCAAUGGGCGAAAGCCUGACGCAGCCAUGCCGCGUGAAUGAUGAAGGUCUUAGGAUUGUAAAAUUCUUUCACCGGGGACGAUAAUGACGGUACCCGGAGAAGAAGCCCCGGCUAACUUCGUG
Molecule: ribosomal RNA, 433 nt
Filed under: uncultured bacterium
Lineage: Bacteria
Description: partial 16S ribosomal RNA
Rfam family: Bacterial small subunit ribosomal RNA
Source: RNAcentral